Molecule: RNA transcript, 1569 nt
Organism: Diospyros lotus (date-plum)
Lineage: Eukaryota; Viridiplantae; Streptophyta; Magnoliopsida; Ericales; Ebenaceae
Gene name: metacaspase-1-like
Exons: 5
Source: RefSeq, a predicted model, not a curated record
ACACCCUUAGCAACUCCAAACCAUUAAUAGGAGAUCAAAAAGAAUGGCAAGAGUGAUAUGCACUAAUUGUAGGGCGAAACUACUGGUGCCAUACGGUGUGUCAAUCAUAAAAUGUCCUUUAUGCUAUUCUACUAUUGUUUUCCAAAACAACAAUGACUACCUUGCCCCAGUAGUAAGCCAAUACAAUGGCUAUGGCAACAGUUACUAUCCCACGGGAUCUGGUAACAGCCAUCACCGCCAACCACCAUUUCCAUCAUAUCAUCUUUCACCACUUUCAGUGCAUGGAAGAAAACGGGCAGUCUUGAUUGGAAUAAGCUACCAUGGCCAGCAGAACAGCAUCAAGGGUAGUGUUAAUGAUGUAAGGAUGAUGAGUUACUUCUUGGUUAAUAGGUUCAGGUUCCCAAAUGAAUCUAUCUUUGUCCUCACAGAAGAAGAGAGAGACCCAUACCGUAUGCCAACUAAGCGUAAUAUUCAGACAGCCUUGCAUUGGCUCAUCCAGAGUUGCCAAUCAGGGGAUUCGUUGGUUCUUUUCUACUCAGGCCAUGGCACAAAAGUGACUGAUAUUAAUAGGGAUGAGAUUGAUGGAUUUGAUGAAGCACUAUGCCCCGUUGAUUUUCAGACUCAAGGAAUGAUACUGGAUGAUGAGAUCAAUGCCACCAUUGUACGGCCACUACCUCAUGGAGUCAGACUCCACGCCAUCAUUGAUACUUGCAACAGUGGAACCUCUCUAGAUCUACCAUUCCUGUGCAGGAUGAACCAGACAGGAUACUACGCAUGGCAGGAUCACCGUGUUUCAUAUGCUUAUAAAGGCACAAGUGGAGGGGUAGCAUUUUGUUUUAGCGCUUGUAAUGAUGAUGAAAACUCCCUAGAUACAACGAAGGGAUGCAAAUAUCCUUUCCUUCAUGUUUCCUUGGAACUGCCAUUUCAAAGUUACACAUUAUUCUGCCACUUCCACAGGCUUUCUCAGGUGGCAUUUCAACUGGUGCCAUGACCUAUAGCUUCAUUGAGGCUGUGCAGAAUGAGCAUGGAUUAACAUAUGGCCGUUUACUUCAAUCCUUACGCAGUAAAAUUGUUGAGGCCCAGAAACAUCUAUAUGGUCCUUACACACCUACAUGGGCAUCACAGGUACCUCAACUCUCCUGUACUGAGGAAUUUGACAUUCACUCAAAACAGUUCAUUAUAUAAAUCAUAUUUAGCCAAGCUCUGUAAACUUAGUAGCUACAAGCCUACAAGUUAUAAAUGUCAAUGACUAAAAUCUUCUCAUUAUCAGCUGAUAAUAGAGCAGUUAUUUUACUUCCAUGAAACCAUGAGGCGGCAAACUUUUAAUUCAUAUAAGGUUGUACUUUUAACUGCGCCCACGAAAUAAUUAGGCUAAAUCUAUAUUUUUGUCUUCUAUUUUUAUAUUUUUCUUAUAUGAUCAUUUGAAUUUUUUAUUAUUUUGUUUAUACCCUUAAAUUUAUAUUUUUGAAUCAAUUUAAUCCUUAUACUUUGAAUUUUUUUUUUUUGUGGCAAUCCAAACUUUUCAUUAUUUUAAUUACACCUCUAAAUUUAUAUUUUUGAAUCAAUUUG